Molecule: ribosomal RNA, 253 nt
Filed under: uncultured bacterium
Lineage: Bacteria
Description: partial 16S ribosomal RNA
Rfam family: Bacterial small subunit ribosomal RNA
Source: RNAcentral
UACAGAGGGGGCGAGCGUUGUUCGGAAUUACUGGGCGUAAAGGGCGCGUAGGCGGCCCGCUAAGUCGAACGUGAAAUCCCCAGGCUCAACCUGGGAACUGCGUCCGAUACUGGCAGGCUUGAAUUCGGGAGAGGGAUGCAGAAUUCCAGGUGUAGCGGUGAAAUGCGUAGAUAUCUGGAGGAAUACCGGUGGCGAAGGCGGCAUCCUGGACCGAGAUUGACGCUGAUGAGCGAAAGCUAGGGGAGCAAACGGG